Pelobates cultripes (western spadefoot toad) is the source of this 231-nucleotide non-coding RNA. The record is from the annotation of a GenBank genome assembly. Lineage: Eukaryota; Metazoa; Chordata; Amphibia; Anura; Pelobatidae.
AAAAAAUCUAUACAUUGCUUGAAUCUGUUAGAAAUACAGUAUAAAAUCAUGCAUAGAUGGCACUUAGUGCCAGAAAAAUUAAACAAGAUGUAUGAGAAUUGCCCAACCUCCUGCUGGAAAUGUAAGUCAGAGACUGGUUCCUAUACCCAUGUCUGGUGGACCUGUCCUAGGUUGGAUAAAUACUGGGAUUUGGUCACUUCAAUUUUAGAAAAUUUUAAGAUUAGGGGAAUC